CAAAGCAGUUUUACAAAACUCAUCAGAGGGAGGCACUGGUGGCCAUGAUGCCUCCUCCACAGCCUGUGUGAUUCUCACCAAACUGAAUCCCCUGAAGGCUGGGUGUCCUGAGAUGGUGCAGCCUCCACCACAAGAUGAAGGCAUCUGGCCUAUUUGGGCAGAAUGCCGCUGACACCUCCUGCUUCGAUUCUUCUUGAGUUUCUCUGGUCCAACCUGUGAAGAGAAUAUGUCCGCCGUGAAUGAUAAAUAAUCUAGCAUAUGAUAGAAUCUAACCCCUAGAAAAAUGAUGAAAUUCAUAGCUGGAAAAGAAUAGCUGGUGUGCCAGAUUGCACCUUAUGUUCUGGACGCCUGACAUUUGCCACGGUGGUCAUAUCCUGCCAUCCCCUGAGGUGUGGACUUGCCCGCCUGCCCCUGGCUCACGGGCCUCACUGCCAGCCCUACCACAUGCCCUCAGCCGAACGAUGAGUCCUUGGAGGUCUGUCGUGUCCCGCUCUCUCCCACAUCUGUUCCUUUUUGGUGUUAUGGGAAUAUUCAACUACUCUCCACUGAAGUGGAAAUUCUCAUGAGAUCCCAGGAAAACAUACUUGAAGCUCCAGGAUGUGAUGUGAUGGCUAAAGCUUGGGUAGCAACC
Molecule: long non-coding RNA, 631 nt
Organism: Cervus elaphus (red deer)
Lineage: Eukaryota; Metazoa; Chordata; Mammalia; Artiodactyla; Cervidae
Exons: 4
Source: RefSeq, a predicted model, not a curated record